This 323-nucleotide RNase P RNA is filed under the name Flavobacterium sp. RNAcentral's name for it is "RNase P RNA component class A". It matches the Rfam family "Bacterial RNase P class A". Rfam says of the family: Ribonuclease P (RNase P) is a ubiquitous endoribonuclease, found in archaea, bacteria and eukarya as well as chloroplasts and mitochondria. The record is from RNAcentral. Lineage: Bacteria; Pseudomonadati; Bacteroidota; Flavobacteriia; Flavobacteriales; Flavobacteriaceae.
ACCGCAGGCCGCCUUAUCGCUGCUCUUUUUGAGUGGAGGAAAGUCCGGGCACCGUAGAGCAGCAUAGCGGGUAACGCCCGUCACAUCCAAGUAAUUGGGUGGAGGACAAGUGCAACAGAAAGCAAGUACAGUUCGGCUGUAGUGAAACCAGGUAAACUCUAUGCGGUGAAAUGUCAAGUAUACCGACUCCCGAUUUUUUUGGGAAAGGGCGGCUCGCCUGAUGUCGGAGGGUAGGCAGAUAGAAUUGUCCAGCAAUGGACGAUCCAGAUAAAUGAUAAGGGCUCUUUCGAGUACAGAACCCGGCUUACAGGCCUGCUUUUUUU